This 92-nucleotide transfer RNA is filed under the name Dactylellina haptotyla CBS 200.50. It matches the Rfam family "tRNA". From Rfam's summary of the family: Transfer RNA (tRNA) molecules are approximately 80 nucleotides in length. Their secondary structure includes four short double-helical elements and three loops (D, anti-codon, and T loops). Further hydrogen bonds mediate the characteristic L-shaped molecular structure. tRNAs have two regions of fundamental functional importance: the anti-codon, which is responsible for specific mRNA codon recognition, and the 3' end, to which the tRNAs corresponding amino acid is attached (by aminoacyl-tRNA synthetases). tRNAs cope with the degeneracy of the genetic code in two manners: having more than one tRNA (with a specific anti-codon) for a particular amino acid; and 'wobble' base-pairing, i.e. permitting non-standard base-pairing at the 3rd anti-codon position. Lineage: Eukaryota; Fungi; Ascomycota; Orbiliomycetes; Orbiliales; Orbiliaceae. The record is from Rfam by way of RNAcentral.
GCUCCUAUAGCUCAGUUGGUAGAGCGCGACACUAGUAUCGCUAUUCAAUCGCGGCAAUGUCGAGGUCUACGGUUCAAAUCCGUAUGGGAGCA